GAUGAACGCUGGCGGCGUGCCUAAUACAUGCAAGUCGAGCGAACGGACGAGAAGCUUGCUUCUCUGAUGUUAGCGGCGGACGGGUGAGUAACACGUGUAUAACCUACCUAUAAGACUGGGAUAACUUCGGGAAACCGGAUCUAAUACCGGAUAAUAUUUUGAACCGCAUGGUUCAAAAGUGAAAGACGGUCUUGCUGUCACUUAUAGAUGGAUCCGCGCUGCAUUAGCUAGUUGGUAAGGUAACGGCUUACCAAGGCAACGAUGCAUAGCCGACCUGAGAGGGUGAUAGGCCACACUGGAACUGAGACACGGACCAGACUCCUACGGGAGGCAGCAGUAGGGAAUCUUACGCAAUGGGCGAAAGCCUGACGGAGCAACGCCGCGUGAGUGAUGAAGGUCUUCGGAUCGUAAAACUCUGUUAUUAGGGAAGAACAGAUGUGUAAGUAACUGUGCACAUCGUGACGGUACCUAAUCAGAAAGCCACGGCUAACUACGUG
Molecule: ribosomal RNA, 497 nt
Filed under: uncultured bacterium
Lineage: Bacteria
Description: partial 16S ribosomal RNA
Rfam family: Bacterial small subunit ribosomal RNA
Source: RNAcentral